ACCAGGUUUGGGUCAGGCUCGCGACGUUAAACAAGCGCUACUAGGAGGCAACCUAGAUUUUCUUCUUUUACCCUUUGCAUUUUUAAAUUCCUAGAAUAGGUUGAAUUUUAAUUUUGGUGUGUAUUCUUGGCUUUAUUACUCGUUCUGAAAAUGUUUGACUAACUGAUGUGCAUGAUAGAUCUAUUUGAUGAUUAUUUGAUGUGGAAGAAAAUUGAGUUGUAAUGCAUGAUGUUAUCCAAGAAAUAGAUGGGUGAUGAAUUUAUGAUUGUGGUCAUGAUGCUAGGCAUGGUGUAUGAAUGAAUUUUGUGUGAGGAAGCAUGUGUGUGAGAUUUUGAGCUCCAGAGUUUUUAUUGUUGCAUGUAUUGUUCAUAGGAAAACAUGGAUGAUAUUGCCUUAAUCUUGACGAUCGAUUGAAUUGCAUGUAAAUGUCAUAUGAUCAAGGCUACUUUUGAAAACCCUUCUCUAGCCAAAUUUUCACCCAAAGUGUUUGAAAUAUUAUACCCUUUUUCAACCUUAGCCUUAAACAGGAUGUGAUCCCUUGUUUUGAAAUUNUUUACCUUGAGUUAGGAUGAGCUAACUUGUAUGUAAUGAAAAGGUUCAAGUUUGGGGUUGUACGGGGGAAAAUUGAAAAAGCAAGUGAAAGGCAUUGAGCUCAAUUGUUGUGAAAAGAGAAAAUUCAUGAGAAAAAGAAAAGAAAAGAAGAAAAGCAUGAAGAGCUCAAUGCAAAAGAAAGAGACAAGGGAAAAAUUGGGAAUGAGAGACAUUGGUGAGAGUGGUGCUUAAAUGUUGAAUAUUUUGUUAGCUCUCUUGAUUCAAGGAUUUUGCAUUCCAGAAAAACCAAUUCUUUCUUGUUAGCCCAACCUCAUUACAAGCCUUGGGAAAGUCCUUUUGAUGGCAUUUGCAUGUAAAGAUGUUGAUUGUUUGAGAUGAACGGCAAUUUUGUUUAUUGUUACUUGUGAAGAAUAGAGAGUUGGAGUGUCACCUUAAACACUUGAGUGAUUGAGUGAAACACUUGCUUGGUAUAAUUUGUUAAUUUUCAUAAAUACAUUUUUGCUUAGUGGAUUGAUCAUUCAUAGUAUAUAACAUCUAUUGUGCAAUCUCUGGGUUC
This 1108-nucleotide long non-coding RNA is filed under the name Vigna radiata. Its description in RNAcentral is "long non-coding RNA (VRAD_LNC011853)". Lineage: Eukaryota; Viridiplantae; Streptophyta; Magnoliopsida; Fabales; Fabaceae. The record is from RNAcentral.